RNAcentral lists this ribosomal RNA (86 nucleotides) under Babesia microti. RNAcentral describes it as "partial 28S ribosomal RNA". It matches the Rfam family "Eukaryotic large subunit ribosomal RNA", at positions 1 to 81 of the family's 3401-position model. The record is from RNAcentral. Lineage: Eukaryota; Apicomplexa; Aconoidasida; Piroplasmida; Babesiidae.
UUUUAUGGCCUGAAAUUGGAUGUGACGAUCCGCUGAAUUUAAGCAUAUAACUAAGCGGAAGAAAAGAAAAUAACAAUGAUUCCCCU